This 72-nucleotide transfer RNA is filed under the name Bos taurus (domestic cattle). It matches the Rfam family "tRNA". Rfam says of the family: Transfer RNA (tRNA) molecules are approximately 80 nucleotides in length. Their secondary structure includes four short double-helical elements and three loops (D, anti-codon, and T loops). The record is from Rfam by way of RNAcentral. Lineage: Eukaryota; Metazoa; Chordata; Mammalia; Artiodactyla; Bovidae. RNAcentral also lists the same sequence under 3 other names.
UCCCUGGUGGCUCAGAGGGUAAAGCGUCUGCCUGCAAUGCAGGAGACCCGGGUUCGAUCCCUGAGUGAGGAA